Lagopus muta (rock ptarmigan) is the source of this 6744-nucleotide RNA transcript. It is a transcript of the gene named sterile alpha motif domain containing 4A, with no coding region annotated. Lineage: Eukaryota; Metazoa; Chordata; Aves; Galliformes; Phasianidae. The record is from RefSeq and is a predicted model, not a curated record. The transcript is spliced from 12 exons.
CUUCCAGGUGUGACCCCCCCCCCGGCCCGAUCCCGCUCGUUCCGUGCCUUGCCCACACUCGCAGCGCAGGGCCGGCUCGGUGCACGCAGACCGCUGGGCUUUUCCUUAUUAUUUUACCUUUUUUUUUUUUUUUCCCCUCCUUCAUCUUUUUAAAUUUUUCUUAAUUUUUUUUCCCCACCUCCCCUCCCACUCCUCCCACCCCCAUUUACUCCGCAUCGCCAUCACCACCCCCGAAGAAAACCGAGCGAACCCGAAGCUGCACCCUACGCCCACCCACCAACCCAGCCUCGCAUCGCAGAGGAAAUCCUCACCGUCACCCGGCUCUAUCACCGGGGGUUGGGGGGGAGGAGGAGAGCAGCCCUCCCCUCGCACCCCGGCCCUCAGCACCAUGAUGUUUCGAGACCAGGUCGGCGUUCUGGCCGGCUGGUUCAAGGGCUGGAACGAGUGCGAGCAGACUGUUGCGCUGCUCUCGCUGCUCAAACGCGUGAGCCGGACCCAGGCGCGCUUCCUGCAGCUCUGCCUGGAGCACUCGCUGGCAGACUGCACCGAGCUGCACGUCCUCGAAGGGGAGGCCAACAACCCCGGAAUCAUUAACCAAUGGCAACAGGAAUCCAAGGAUAAAGUGAUAUCCCUAUUGUUAACCCACCUGCCUUUACUGAAGCCCGGAAACAUCGAAGCGAAAGUCGAAUACAUGAAACUCUUGCCUAAAAUCCUUGCCCACUCGAUCGAACACAACCAACACAUCGAGGAGAGCAGGCAGCUGUUGUCCUACGCCUUGAUCCACCCGGCCACCUCACUGGAGGACCGCAGCGCUCUGGCCAUGUGGCUCAACCACCUGGAGGACCGCACGUCGGGGACCUUUGGCAGCCAGGGCAGGGGCCGUUCGGACUCUGUGGACUACGGGCAGACUCACUACUAUCACCAAAGACAGAACUCCGAUGAUAAACUCAACGGAUGGCAAAACUCUCGAGACUCGGGCAUAAGCGUCAGCGCUUCCAGCUGGCAGGACAAAAACCUGGCCUGCGAGAACGGCCAUCUGCCCCUCUACUCCUCCUCCUCCGUCCCCACCACCAUCAACACCAUCGGCACUAGCACAAGCACCAUUCUCUCAGGCCAGACACACCACAGCCCUUUGAAACGCUCUGUGUCCCUUACCCCACCCAUGAAUGUGCCAAACCAGCCUCUAGGACAUGGAUGGAUGUCUCAUGAGGACUUACGAGCUAGAGGACCCCAGUGCAUCCCUUCCGAUCAUGCCCCCCUGUCUCCACAAAGCAGUGUAGCCUCUUCGGGAAGUGGUGGGAGUGAACAUUUAGAAGAUCAGCCUUCCGCUCGUAACACAUUCCAGGAGGAAGGGAGUGGUAUGAAAGAUGUUCCAGCCUGGCUGAAGAGUCUCCGGCUGCACAAGUACGCCGCGCUCUUCUCACAGAUGACGUACGAGGAGAUGAUGGCCCUCACUGAAUGCCAGCUCGAGGCACAAAACGUUACCAAAGGCGCAAGACACAAAAUAGUCAUCAGCAUCCAAAAGCUAAAAGAAAGACAAAACCUGCUCAAAUCAUUAGAAAGGGACAUCCUGGAAGGUGGCAACCUGCGUGUCCCGCUGCAGGAACUACACCAAAUGAUCCUCACCCCCAUCAAAGCCUACUCUUCCCAAAUCUCCAGCCCGGAGGAGCACAGCCGGGACACGGACUCACAUCAUCCCCCCGCCCUGCUGGGCUCAGACAGCCAGGGCUCCGAUGGCAAGGACUCUGCAGCGGGGGGCAUGCAGCAGCAUCACCUGCCGGGCUGUGAGGGCGAGUCGGGGGGAGGCCCUUUGCCUGAAGGUGACCUGCCUGGACAGUUCACAAGGGUGAUGGGGAAAGUGUGCACACAACUUUUAGUUUCCCGACCAGAUGAAGAGAAUAUAAGCUCCUAUUUACAGCUUAUAGACAAAUGUCUAAUACAUGAGGCGUUUACAGAGAUACAGAAGAAACGGCUGUUGUCAUGGAAACAGCAGGUGCAAAAACUCUUUAGGUCUUUCCCUCGGAAAUCCCUCCUGGAGCUGUCAGGCUAUCGGCAGCAGCGGAGCCGAGGCUUUGGGCAGUCCAACUCCUUACCUACAGCCGGAUCCGCCGGGGCAGGGCUGGGCAGACGAAACCCCCGCCAGUUCCAGAUCCCCUCCCGCAACCUCCCCACUGCCCGCCUGGGGCUGCUGGGUCCCAGUGGGCUGCUGGGCACCCCACAGCGCAGCCCUGCCACCAGCCCUGCCAUCCUCAAGCAAGGCAGACAGAAUCUCUGGUUUGCCAACCCUGGGGGCAGCAACAGCAUGCCCAGCAGGAGCCACAGCUCAGUGCAGAGGACGCGCUCGCUGCCGGUGCACACCUCCCCGCAGACCAUGCUGAUGUUCCAGCAGCCAGAGUUCCAGGUGCCGGUGACUGAACCUGACAUCAACAACAGGCUGGAGUCCCUGUGCCUGAGCAUGACGGAGCACGCGCUCAGCGGUGAGCACUCCCUCCUCCUUGGGCUCUUCCAGCACGUCCAGGCGGCCUCAGCCAAGCCCCCCAGGGGCUGCCCCACGCCCCCCAAGGGCUGGGACCAGCUUUGGCUGUGAGAGAUGAGACAGGGUGGGAUGGUUGCUGCUCCCACGGAGAGGUCUCAGCCAGCUCUGUCGGGACAGAGGGGUAAAACUAAACGCAGGGAUUGCGCCCGGCGCUGGCAAAGCCUGUGCUUUUAGCCACUAGUUAGCUUGCUAAUCAUCAUUAGUGUUAGCUCACUAGUCUGCUGUUAAUUAAUGACAAAGCCACCCAAGCUCUCGAAUGGUGCACAGGCUUCAGAGUGCUCUACCCCUCUGCCAGCCCAAGCCCUGCUUUGCUGGGGGACACGGGGACCCCCAGGGCUGCAGCCAUCCCUUUGGGGUCGCGCUGAUGCUGGCAGCCUGGGUGGGGACAAGGAGCAGGGAGGGAGGAGGAGGUCCAGGCUGCAAGCAGUGCAAGAGGGGAGCCCAGGGAGGCACCGGACACGCCGUGACGCAGCGGACCCGGAUGGCGUGGAGACGCCAGGAUGGGACGAGCCGAGCAGCCCGCGUCGCCCAGAGCCUCCUGAAUACACAGCCCCAAAAGCCACAGACUGUCGGAUGGUGGAGGAUGGGAACCCACGGGGAGGACAAGGCUCCCUGCAGCGAUGGCACUGCCCAGGGACAGGGACGUGGGAGCGAGGACUGGACGUGGCAGCAGGGUGCUGGCCGUGGGCACAAGGACACUGCUGUCACCGACGCGUUCCUGCGGCGUGCGCCCAGGCGAGGCUUAGCUGUGUUGUUCCUGUGCAGGACGGUGUCGACCGGACCUCCACCAUCUAGAGGAGGACAGCCUGAUGGCGGCGGUGCUGAUGGGAGAAGAACUGCUGCAGGUCCAGCGGAGAGGUCCAGGCACGGGAGCCUCAGUGACAGCUUGCAUCCUUUCUGUCUUUCUCUCUCUUCCUCUCUUUUCUCCUGUUUUAAUUUGGUGAACGUGUAGAUUGUCCUUGUGAACAUACCAUUAGACUUGGAAUUUGUGUUGUCCUUUCUUACAUCCGUGCUAAAAAACGGAAAGGGGGGAGGGGGGGAGGGAGGGAGAGGAGGGAUGGCAAAGAAAGAAACAACGCUGAGAAAAACAAACAGCAAAAAAAUGCCUGGGGUGGGUGGGGGGUGAGGCAGAAAAGUGCUGACUUUGUGGUUUCGCCAUGGGCGGCGAAUGUCACCUGUGUGUGACCAAAGCCCUGAAGGGAGGAUUUGCCAUAGGGGACCCCGCGGGUGCUGCCAGCUGGCCCGUCCUUGUCCUCAUCCCAUAGGGGCUGGGCUGUAGCCUAUGCAAAAAAAAAAAAGGCCCCUUGGGAUGGAUGGAACCGGUGGCUGAAUUGUAAAAACCAAAAUCAAAAAAAAAAAGAUUAAAAAAAAAGAAAAAGAAAAAGCAGAAACAAACCUGCCUUUCUGUUUUGCAAAGAGCACCCGGCACAGAGAUCCGUCCGUCGGUGCGGUGUUGCGGGGCGCCCGUCCUGCUGUUGGGUUGUGAAGGGCUGGGGAUGUCGGUGAGGGGCGAUGCAGUGAGUGAUGGGUGUCCGUGUCUCUGUCUUGUGUGUGUGGUAGAAGAAAGGUGCUGCAUCCUGGGUUUGCACAUCUGCCCAGCCUGCCCAAACCAUCACUGCAUCAUCACCACAUUCAUCGUGGCGUCGCUGAAUGGUUGGGUUGGAAGGGGUUGUAAAGACCUUCUGGUUCCACCCCUGCUGUGGGCUGGGUGCCCCCCAGCUCAGGCUGCCCAGGGCCCAACCAUGGCCUGAGCACCUCCAGGGAUGGGGCACCCACAGCUCUGGGCAGUGCCAGGGCCUCACCAUCCUCUAAGUAAAGAAUUUCCAACUAAAAGCCCAUUAAAAUGGGGUUUCCCCAGCCCUGCAAUGGGGUAAUCCUGGCCCCAAGAUGAGAGGACGUUCUGGAAGAGCAGAACCAACCAAAUGAGAGCGGGCACCAAAACUCAGCCCUGUUAUGGGGCACAAAAAGCAUCAGGAAGGGGACAUGAAUGAUGCUCACCCCUAAUGGACUUAGUGGAGGAAAUGAGUAACACCUAAAGAUGCUCAGAGCAGGAGGUGAAUGGUCGUGGUGCCCCCUGGGUGGGUUUUGCUGUAAGCACUGCAGUCGGUCCCUACUAAUAGAAGGGCGUACGAGCAAUGGGAUUCAGUCCCUGCUCAUAUAUGAGGCUGUAGGGUUCCCAACACUGGCUCAACCCACAGCACCAAUGGGCAGCUCCAGUUGAGGUGUGACCAGCAGUGCUGCUCUUCCAGGGGCUGAGCAGGGCUGGUUGUGCAGCUCUCGGCAGAUGCGCAAAUCCAUUGGCGAUGCAGCAUUUUUAAGUAGUUUCAUAUGCAUCUAUAUAUCUAUAUAUAUAUAUGUGUGUGUGUGUGUAUAUAUAUAGAUAUAUAUAGAAAAAGAAGUGCCAAAUGCAAUGUUUUACAUUUGCUGUUCCUUGGUUUGCUGUUGACCGGAAGGUGUUGAGGCGAUGUUUAUGUGGGGGAGCGGAGAAGGGAGAAGCAAAGUGGGAGUGCUAUGGGACAAGCAGGGCAGGGCAGCACGAGGAAAGCCCGAAAUCCUAUUUAUUCCUUUGCUGAAUAUAGAAACAGAGGUUAUCUGAUUGUUAAAGAGAGAUUAUUUUGGAUAUAUUACAUGUGAACGUGCUAUGGCUGGUAACCAUGAUGAUGUCUGUUAUUAACAACCGAAUCAUUUGGGUUCUUUGUGUUGGUUUAUUUGUUUGUUGUUUUCUUUUUCUCAAAGCUUGUUUCCCAUUGGCAGUGUAUGGGUUAAUGGCUCUUCCGUUGUGUUUGCUGUUGCUUGUUUUUAUAAGUAAGGAAAAGCGGCUUCGGUUUCCAUUUUGGAAGUCCCUCCUGGCUCUGUCGGAGCCCUGCGCUGAGUGCAGGUAACAGCAGAGCUCUGUUCAAAGAGACGGAUCGAAUCCUGGUAUUUAUAAGACACAACACAGGCAAAAAAAAAAAAGAAAAAAAAAAAGAAAAAAAAAAAAAGAAAAAAGAAUUAAAAAAAAAAACCAACAAAAAGAGUUGCAUGAAUAAGGCUGUGAAGUCAGAUAUUUAGUAAUAACGCGGCAGUGCCUUUCUUUUUUGUAUCCACCCAUUUCCCUCUCAUCCCCCCCCACCACGUGCAACUGUUCCCUACGCCCGCGGCCCCGGCAGCUCCUGGUGCUGCUGCCCCACAGCCUGAACCCACAGCCCCGCUGGGGCAGCCCUAUGGGGCCGCGACGCUGAGGAUAACCCCAUUUCUUUUGAGGUGUCGCCGUCCCGCUGGGGAUGAGCCCUUAGCCGAGCCAGGAGAGGGGCAACCCAAGGCUUCUCAGCUCAUCGUGAAGCCCGGCGUUGGGGAGGGGCUCAUCCCGGUGAGCCCAGCACGCUGUGAUCCCGCAUCGCAGGCUCCGGUCAGCACUCGGCGUUGAGGAAUUUGUGGUGUCACCUUCCUCGGUGGGUGGGUUUUUAUUUGGAUGUGCCUGAUGGAAAGUAGGUCCUGCAGACGUCGCAUUUUGCACACGCAGCUCCGAGAACACUAAAAGUUGAUUUUAUACCGAGUCAUCGAGAGUUUGCAAAAGUGAGUUUUAUUUUUUGUAUUCCUUUAUCUUUACUUAAAGGUGAAUGUGUAUUCCUCUGGGAGGAAUAGGAAGAAAAUAAAUAAAUAAAAAAAGAAGAAAAAAAAAAACCAAAAAAAAGGAAAAAAAAAACAAAAAAACAACCAACCAAACCCAACCAGGAAUGUUAAUAAUGUUAAACAGAAUACUUCCUCCCUUAUUAAUAUAUAACCCUCUGUAUUUAUGCCUAUUGUAAGCUGACUUCCAAGAGCUUUGACCUCUCUUCUGUUGCAUGCCGUUCCCGGGCAGCCCUUUAUUGUACAUGCAUGCCUUUAGUCCUGUUUUUUCUGUACAAAAUUAGUGCACAAAGAAAUAUUUUUGCCUAGUUCAUGUUGCCAAGCAAUGCCUAUUUUUUACAUUUUGUCAUAUAUGGAAAUAGCAUGUUUGUUACAUGUAAAAGCUUCCCGAUAUACAGAAAUACUAAUGUUUGGAGAUGCUGGUCUUUGCAAGUGUACAGUUUUCAAAUGUUGUUACCAGUGAAACACCCUCGUGAUUUCAACUUGCUCCAAUGUAUUUAUUACUCAUUUGCUCCCAUGUAACUAGGAGUCAUGGCUAUAUUUCAUAUCGACGUUAUAUUGAAAGUGAAGGGAGAUGAUUAAUACAAGGUUUUGUAACA